Molecule: long non-coding RNA, 401 nt
Filed under: Brassica napus (rape)
Lineage: Eukaryota; Viridiplantae; Streptophyta; Magnoliopsida; Brassicales; Brassicaceae
Description: long non-coding RNA (BNAP_LNC024461)
Source: RNAcentral
GCUCAUAGAACUUAUUGAGCCACAAACACACAGAGCCACAAACACACAGAGCAAACAACACACAGGCAAACAACAUACUCAUAGAGCUUAUUAAAAUUUGAAAAUUAGAAAAAACCAAAAACCACAACCUGCCACCGUUGCUUGACUUCCUUAUCAGACUGAUCCAUAAAAGUAUCAUGGUUUGGAUGAGCUCUGAUGCCUGCUUUAGCAGCUUCAACAGACGUACGUUUGUGAGGUAAAACGAACCCUUGCACCAGUUUCUUCUUCAUGGUUCAACCUGCAACAGUCUGGUUCUUAAACAUAACCUUUCUUGGCCCAUGUUUCUUCUCCACAUCCAUCGUAACUGGACCCUUCUCCUCUCUCUCUCUCUCUCCAAUCUGGUUAUCUUCGAGUAUCGCUAU